This is a non-coding RNA of Peromyscus maniculatus bairdii (prairie deer mouse), 751 nucleotides long. The record is from RefSeq and is a predicted model, not a curated record. NCBI's taxonomy places the organism in Eukaryota, Metazoa, Chordata, Mammalia, Rodentia, Cricetidae.
AGAAGAAGAAGCGGAUCUCAGAGGUAUUCUUGGUAUAGUAGAAAUUCCAUAUUAAUGUCAAUUAUUGGUGGCCUGAGAAGCUGAAUAAUCUUGAAGACAUCUGUACACUGAUUUUUAACUAUUGAAACACCACGGGAGUACCUCGGUGCCUAAAGAAAAUAAUUUAAAGACAUAUUGUUUCAAAUAACACCCUGAGGUUCUUUUUGUGUAGUAGACGCGGACUGUUUCUAUGGAAACAGGUUUUCUCUAUUUCGUUCUGCUGCCGCCAUCUAGAGGACAAGCGAAGUACAGCAGGGAGUGACACAUCAUGCCCCCUCAUCCUCCGGGGCAGCCAGUCCGGUUUUGUGGCCAGAAGAUGAUUGAUCGAGUCCAACUGAGCACACGUGGGUGCAGAGUGAGCCUGGGGCCUCUCAGUCUCUCUCGCACCUGUGGCUCCCCCUCUCACACGUGUGAAACACUAAAGAAGUAGUUGGUGAACUUGCUGAGGGAUUCUGAGCUCCUGCGGAGGCUGGGGGCACUGUCUCCUCUGAACCACCAGGGGUUCUCACUAGAAGCUGGGCAGAUGGCUGUGACAUCCUCUUGACCUUUUUCCUGUCUCCAAAUUUGUGAGCUAAAAGACUUCUUUUCUGCAUCAAGUGUACCACCUCAGACAUUCUGUUGUAGAAACAGUAAGUCUUUCCAUCUCAUCUGUUUUUAGGUCUAGAUUGGAAUACGAGAAGACCAAGUAGCAAUAAAAUUAUGCAUAUUUGAA